GUGUUAUGGGUGGUUGCUAGGGUGUUGCUAUGGAGUUAUGGGUGGGUGUUAGUCUGUUGCUAGGGAGUUAUGGGUGGUUGUUAGUCUGUUGCU
Sinocyclocheilus rhinocerous is the source of this 93-nucleotide long non-coding RNA. RefSeq lists it as uncharacterized. The record is from RefSeq and is a predicted model, not a curated record. NCBI's taxonomy places the organism in Eukaryota, Metazoa, Chordata, Actinopteri, Cypriniformes, Cyprinidae. The transcript is spliced from 3 exons.